Non-coding RNA from Phalacrocorax carbo (great cormorant), 290 nucleotides. The record is from RefSeq and is a predicted model, not a curated record. NCBI's taxonomy places the organism in Eukaryota, Metazoa, Chordata, Aves, Suliformes, Phalacrocoracidae.
GGAAAGCUUAUGCAGGUGGAUAACAGUAAAUCACAUGCUUCCCCCUGCUCGGGUGUGAAUAGAGAGGAGUUCCCGCCUGCACUGAAAGAAUAGCUCAACAUCUGUCAUCCCAUUCUCUGCGAUGGCCCAAAAUCAGGAAGACUACAGCUGUCCUGUUCCUUUCAGAUACUUCUGGGAUAGAGAGGUUGGGAGUUAUACUACAACGGCUGAGUGCUGGAUGAAGAUGAAAACAAAGGAUGUAAAUUAGCUUAUUCCUUGCAAGCUCAAAAAUGGCAUCUUUUGAAAUAUGU